Molecule: long non-coding RNA, 1084 nt
Organism: Rosa rugosa (rugosa rose)
Lineage: Eukaryota; Viridiplantae; Streptophyta; Magnoliopsida; Rosales; Rosaceae
Exons: 2
Source: RefSeq, a predicted model, not a curated record
UGAAACUGAAAAGCGGGAAUGAAUGAAUGAAUAUCCAAUUCCAAUUCCACCAACAGUGAAUAAUGGCAUGGGUGAAGUGAAAGGGAAUGAGUGAGCUGUUUUGUGUUUAGUUGGUUUUAUCGUGUCGUUUCCGCGUGCUCAACAGUCAACAGUUUUCCGUUUCCGCGUGCUUCCCAUAUGUAUCCUUUGAUUCCUUUCAUCCAUUUCUUAAUUUCCGCUUCUUCUUCUUGUUUUUUGAAGUAUAAUACAAUAAUAUGACCCACGACAGACCAAAAAAAUAAAUAAAAAAAUAACAUGAUCAACAUUACCUGAGACUUCAACAACCAACCGGCAACUCACCGGCCAAGCAAACGGCAACCUCAUCAAUCAAAUCGUUGAGGUCAAAUUGGGUUGGCGAGCACAGAGAAGCGCCUGCGUUUGUUACCAGUAGAACGAUUUCCAGUUUUGGGCUAGUGUCCUGUUGGUUGGGUGGUCGGAUCCCGGAGGCUUUCGGGUGGUCAGCAACAUGAGUGCAGCGGCUUGAGGGUGCGAUCUCGAUCCAUGAGGCCAGUAGGUGCAGGUAUCAGCGAUACAGCCGCGGUCGGGCAAGUCAGGGAGUGGCAGGCUUCAUUCGUGUUCCGGCAAGGCGUGGCCGAGGAUUGCUGCAGCUGAGACUAGGUUGUUCCUACUCGAUCUGAUGCUGUGGUCAAAAUGACAUGACGGCGGCAGAGGCAAAGGAGCAGCAGUGCAAUGACGCUCCUCCUCUCUCUUCUUGGGUUUGGGCCUGCAGGCUAGGGUUCAGGUCAAGGCAAUCUGGGCCCUAAUGUAUUAGGGUAUCGAGCCUGUUUAAGGUUGAAUAAACUUCUAUGAGUCUUGUAUGACGGUUUUAAUUUCUUACUUGUACCAUAAUUGCUUGAUUGGCAAGUGAGGGCUAGUUGAACGAAUUCAUUUUCAUAGGAGGCGAGGUUGGUUCCAUUCUUGUAUAGACUCGCUUAAUUGUGAGCGUCCCAGAGAUCCUUAAUGGUUUGCUUUGGUUUAGUUCGGAUUUUCUUGCCGGAUUUCUUAUGUAAGCUCUGAAGAUUAUAGCAUUUGGUUGUUGAUCUAA